UCCCAGUGGACAGAGGGGCCACUGUGAUUCUGUCACAUCUAGCUCUCAAUGGACAGAGGGACGCAGUGAUCCUGUGAUGUAUGCCUGGGGCUGUUCUUCCUCAUCAGCCUCCAUAGCCUGGUCACUGAGACAUGA
Molecule: small nucleolar RNA, 135 nt
Organism: Sorex fumeus (smoky shrew)
Lineage: Eukaryota; Metazoa; Chordata; Mammalia; Eulipotyphla; Soricidae
Product: small nucleolar RNA SNORA84
Exons: 1
Source: RefSeq, a predicted model, not a curated record